Molecule: unclassified non-coding RNA, 375 nt
Filed under: uncultured fungus
Lineage: Eukaryota; Fungi
Description: sequence contains ITS1
Rfam family: 5.8S ribosomal RNA (bases 1-99)
Source: RNAcentral
GAAAUGCGAUACGUCAUGCGAAUUGCAAAACCAGUGAGUCAUCAAAACUUUGAACGCAACUUGCACUUCCCUUUGGGGAGUAUGUCUGUUGGAGUGCUUGUUCAUCCCCACCAUCAACCCCAUUCCCUAACAAGAAUGACUUAGGGUUUUUGAAGACCGUCUCUUGUAUACCUAGUAUAUAAUAGAACGUAGAUGAAACAAAAAUCAAAUAUCCGAUCUGAAUCAGUUUAUCUUUCGGGAUAAAUACGAUUUAAGAACGCGACGUCAUUUAGGGUUAAACCUACAAUUAAUCGUGUUGUUAAAUCUUAAUGAUAGUAAGAUUAUGAUAUUUUUCGAUCGAGCCUCCAAUCAGUCAAGAAUACCCGCUGAAUUUAA